UUAAAAACGUAAUGUAAGUCACUUUGGAUAAAAGUGUCAGCUAAAUGACCUUUA
Molecule: regulatory RNA element, 54 nt
Organism: Gasterosteus aculeatus (three-spined stickleback)
Lineage: Eukaryota; Metazoa; Chordata; Actinopteri; Perciformes; Gasterosteidae
Rfam family: UnaL2 LINE 3' element
About the family: The eel long interspersed element (LINE) UnaL2 and its partner short interspersed element (SINE) share a conserved 3' tail containing a stem-loop that is critical for their retrotransposition. Presumably, the first step of retrotransposition is the recognition of their 3' tails by UnaL2-encoded reverse transcriptase.
Source: Rfam